CUAAACUGAUAGUGGUAGGUGUGUGGUAGAUGCCUAGUCUCCUUUAUGGCACUAAUCUGAUAGUGGUAGGUGUGUGGUAGAUGCCUAGUCUCCUUUAUGGCACUAAUCUGAUAGUGGUAGGUGUGUGGUAGAUGCCUAGUCUCCUUUAUGGCACUAAUCUGAUAGUGGUAGGUGUGUGGUAGAUGUCUAGUCUCCUUUAUGGCACUAAUCUGAUAGUGGUAGGUGUGUGGUAGAUGCCUAGUCUCCUUUAUGGCACUAAUCUGAUAGUGGUAGGUGUGUGGUAGAUGUCUAGUCUCCUUUAUGGCUCUAAUCUGAUAGGGGUAGGUGUGUGGUAGAUGCCUAGUCUCCUUUAUGGCACUAAUCUGAUAGUGGUAGGUGUGUGGUAGAUGCCUAGUCUCCUUUAUGGCACUAAUCUGAUAGUGGUAGGUGUGUGGUAGAUGUCUAGAAUCUCUUUUGGCCCUAAUCUCAUAUUGGUAGUGGUGUGGUAGAUGUCUAGAAUCUCUUUUGGCCCUAAUCUGAUAGUGGUAGGUGUGUGGUAGAUGUCUAGUCUCCUUUAUGGCACUAAUCUGAUAGUGGUAGGUGUGUGGUAGAUGUCUAGAAUCUCUUUUGGCCCUAAUCUGAUAUUGGUAGUGGUGUGGUAGAUGUCUAGAAUCUCUUUUGGCCCUAAUCUGAUAUUGGUAGUGGUGUGGUAGAUGUCUAGUCUCCUUUAUGGC
Long non-coding RNA from Oncorhynchus keta (chum salmon), 713 nucleotides. RefSeq lists it as uncharacterized. The record is from RefSeq and is a predicted model, not a curated record. Lineage: Eukaryota; Metazoa; Chordata; Actinopteri; Salmoniformes; Salmonidae. The transcript is spliced from 6 exons.